RNA transcript from Ahaetulla prasina, 4402 nucleotides. It is a transcript of the gene named F-box and WD repeat domain containing 11, with no coding region annotated. The record is from RefSeq and is a predicted model, not a curated record. NCBI's taxonomy places the organism in Eukaryota, Metazoa, Chordata, Lepidosauria, Squamata, Colubridae. The transcript is spliced from 15 exons.
AGGAGGAGGCGGCGGCGUUGGUGGUGGUGGUGGUGGCGGCGUCGGCGACGACGACGACGGCGGGUCAGUCGGUCGAUCUGUCGGAGCCGGCGACGGCUCUCCUCCUUUUCCGCCUCCUCUCCGAGCCGAGGGGGUCGACUACGGGGUUUUCUCUCCCCCUUGCCGAGGAGGAGCCGUUUUCGCCACAACCGCCGCUGCUGCCGCGCGCGAUGGAGCCGGAGUCGGUGAUCGAGGACAAGACCAUCGAGUUGAUGUGUUCUGUGCCAAGGUCUUUGUGGCUAGGCUGCUCCAACCUGGUAGAGAGCAUGUGCGCACUGAGAUGCCUGCAGAGCAUGCCCAGUGUCAGAUGUCUCCAGAACACAUCAGUAAUGGAGGAUCAGAAUGAAGAUGAGUCUCCAAAGAAAAACACAUUGUGGCAGAUAAGUAAUGGAACUUCAUCUGUAAUAGUCUCAAGGAAACGACCAUCUGAAGGAAAUUACGAAAAGGAAAAAGACUUGUGUAUUAAGUAUUUUGACCAGUGGUCUGAAUCAGAUCAGGUUGAAUUUGUGGAACACCUCAUUUCACGAAUGUGUCACUAUCAGCAUGGACAUAUUAAUUCCUACUUAAAGCCCAUGCUGCAAAGGGAUUUUAUCACUGCUUUACCAGAACAAGGCUUAGAUCACAUAGCAGAAAACAUCCUCUCCUACCUAGAUGCCCGAUCCCUUUGUGCAGCUGAAUUGGUUUGUAAGGAAUGGCAGCGGGUUAUUUCAGAAGGAAUGCUUUGGAAAAAGCUUAUUGAGAGAAUGGUACGAACUGAUCCACUCUGGAAGGGGCUCUCAGAAAGGAGGUGCUGGGAUCAGUACCUGUUUAAAAACAGGCCCACAGAUGGCCCUCCUAAUUCAUUUUAUAGGUCACUGUAUCCAAAGAUAAUACAAGAUAUAGAGACAAUAGAAUCUAACUGGCGAUGUGGAAGGCACAACUUGCAAAGAAUUCAGUGCCGCUCUGAGAAUAGUAAAGGUGUUUACUGUCUACAAUAUGACGAUGAGAAGAUUAUUAGCGGCCUAAGGGAUAACUCCAUUAAGAUAUGGGAUAAAACCGGAUUGGAAUGUUUGAAAGUAUUAACAGGACAUACCGGCUCCGUUCUUUGUCUACAGUAUGAUGAAAGAGUAAUUGUAACUGGAUCGUCUGAUUCUACUGUCAGAGUCUGGGAUGUGAACACAGGCGAAGUCUUGAACACUUUAAUUCAUCAUAAUGAAGCAGUGCUUCACUUGCGGUUUAGUAAUGGUUUAAUGGUGACCUGUUCAAAGGACCGCUCUAUUGCUGUUUGGGACAUGGCUUCAGCAACUGACAUCACCUUGCGCCGAGUAUUAGUUGGCCAUCGGGCUGCUGUUAAUGUUGUGGACUUUGAUGAUAAAUAUAUUGUAUCUGCUUCUGGAGAUAGGACCAUUAAAGUCUGGAGUACAAGCACGUGUGAAUUUGUUCGCACUCUUAAUGGGCACAAAAGGGGUAUUGCCUGCCUCCAGUAUAGGGAUCGACUUGUUGUGAGUGGAUCAUCAGACAAUACCAUUAGACUUUGGGAUAUUGAAUGUGGAGCAUGUUUAAGAGUGCUAGAAGGACACGAAGAGUUGGUUAGAUGUAUACGAUUUGAUAACAAAAGGAUUGUAAGUGGAGCCUAUGAUGGCAAAAUCAAAGUUUGGGACCUGCAAGCUGCUCUUGAUCCUCGAGCUCCAGCAAGUACGCUGUGCUUACGUACAUUGGUGGAACAUUCUGGACGCGUAUUUAGACUCCAAUUUGAUGAAUUUCAAAUUAUUAGUAGUUCCCACGAUGACACAAUUUUGAUUUGGGAUUUUUUAAAUGUGCCUCCCAAUGCACAAAAUGAGACCCGCUCUCCAUCCAGAACGUACACCUACAUCUCCAGAUAACACUCUGCAAGUUGAUGGUUUUCCAAGACAUGGCAAGAGUAUUGACUGGAUGUAAGAAUUCAUAUUCUUUUAAGUGAAGAGAUGUUCAGAAGAGUGAGAUUCCACAGUCUUUGAACUACUGGACAUUUGGCUAUCACACAUCUGAAGACAAUAGCCACAGCUAAAGUUGGAAGUGGUUUUAGGUGCUGUGUAGAUGUAAAGCGGCACAAUUCUUUAUCUCAAUGUAACUUUUUCCAGUCCUCCUCCACUCGGUGGUCUCUUAAGGAAUUGACUAGGAAUUCACUGAGUUCGGCCUCUCCCUCACCACAGUGCAAGAUCCAAAGCUUCAUGAGUAAAUUGCCCAUAUACACUGAACUUACGGCUUGUUUUUCCAGGAGUAAAUCAGAUGUCAAGGAUGGACUUGACCUAAUUUAUAUUUGCUUUGCACUUUUUGUCGGACUCUGAAGAAGAAAAACAUUCUCAGUGAAACGUGGGUGCCAAACGCAUAACACGGAAUGUACAGAGCUUUGCUUUCAAAAUCGCCUCAUCCCGCAGCUUUUACAUUUCACGAUUAAUGCGGAUCCUGCUGUGUUUGCUCAGAGUCUCAGUUGGACUGGUAGAAAUACUUUGGAAUGGUUCAGUAACCUUUUGGACAAUAAUUUACUUAUUUCUGCACCUGUAAUUUGCUUUAAUUUAAAGAUUGUAAAUUGGGCUAGAUUAUCAAAACUAGAUGUACAGCAUUGUCUUUUCUUUAAAUUGUACUCUACUACAACUGUCUUUCUCUUCUCCUAAUGUUUGGUAUAGUCAGAUCCUUCCUAUGUGCUUGCCUCAUUCUUUCCAAUACUGUACCUGUAUAAGCAUGUAGAUAUAAUGUACAUAAAACAUUGUAACCUCCAAGGGCUGGAAGUCGGGGCCUUCUGAUGCUGUAUACAGAUGCCGAGGGAAGUGCUUUUAAGGCAUUCCCAGGCAUUCUUACUACUGGCGCCAUAUGGAGUUGGGAUGUAUUAGAAACAUUUUUCUGUGAAAGGGAGAGCGUUGGCAUUCAUUAGGAUUUUCUUCUUCCUUUUUAAUUGGGAAGACAUAUCUUAAUGUUAACUUCUAAACAUAAGAAGCAUUUUUUAUUAAAAAAAAAAGUUAAAAUUUCUUUCACUAUUCCACAAUGCAAUAUUUGCAAAUCAUCUUGAAACCACUGUCUAAAGUUGAAGAGUCAUCAACCCUUUCAAUAUCUGUUUGAAUUGUCCGUGAUUUCCAGGCCAGUAUGCUGAAUUGGAAGAUGAAUCGCUAUUCCACUGAGAUCUUAGAGGAGAUGAUUGGUGCACCUUACCAUUUAUUUGGAGUAACCUAGCAGUAAAUGGCACCGUGGAUUUUUUUCUAAGUAUGACUGGCCAUGGCUAUUGAUUCAGUAUCUCCCGAUUACAAAAACCUAACUCAUUCGGAAUUAUUGUCUCCCAUGUUUUUAAAUUAUUGCUCAGCAACAUUGUUCAAUAGCUUCUUUUAAUGUUCUUUAGAAGAUAUUAAUAAAUAAAAAUACUGGUUGGUCCAGGAGCAAUUGUUGGCAUGGAUGUGGGUGAUAUCAUGUGGUAUUCUGUUUGCUUUCCUUUUGCUGCCACUGCUGAUCCCCUCCCUUCUUUUAUUUCUCCCCAUUCCUUUUUUUUUUCUUUUCUUUUUUUUGGUUGAGGGGUCAAGGAAUGUUAAUAACCAAUAUAAAUGACCAAUGAAUGAAUUUUGCUUAUUUAGUGGAACAGCUUAUGGUUGGCUAUUUCACUUGCACACCACCUAGUUUGUCUGUCGAAUAAAAAAUGAAAGCACAUGCCGGAUGUGAGAAAGGUACAACUUGAGCUGCUUCUGGUUUCCAGCCUUUACCUCCCAGUCAACUCUGUUGAGCUCCUAAGUUGUUCUUCCCAACACGGAGGGAAAAAAAAGAUAUAUUACAUGGAUCUGAUCCAAUCUACAAGAUGCUUAAGAGGACACUUUCCCAUAUCAGAUGUCGAAACGGGCCACUUUUACAGAAACGGUUUUGCCCCUCCCCCCACAAUCCCCAUGUCACCUAAUAGCUGCAACAUGAAAGACUUGAUACUGCAGCGCUGAAAACAAAAAGGUAUUUACGGACAACCAUCCAUUUUUAAUGCAUGUGUAAGAUGAAAUUCAUGUUUUUCCAUGGGAAAUGAUGGUAUUUGAAGAUGCAGCCUAAACUACUUUUGAUUGUGCUUGAUGUAACGUAGCCGUGGAAUUUGUAACUGACACCCGAGGAGUUUGAUUCCUGGGAUGAAUGAUAGUACCGGCUGUAUUCUGGACUUUGUUUUGCUAAUCAUUACUGAACAGCUGUAUGUUACUGCUAGAUUAAUGUUUCAAAGCACUGGGAUAGUCUUAUUCUAACUUGUAAUUAUGUUUGCCAGUUACCUGUUUGGAAAGUUUGUGUAUGAACAGCUUAUCGGACAACUGUUGAAAUGUACAGAUAUUGUUCAUGAUAUAAGGCUUUGUACUGUGGAAUGUGCUUAAUAAAAAAAAACCCUCUAAAUUUA